This 449-nucleotide ribosomal RNA is filed under the name uncultured bacterium. RNAcentral describes it as "partial 16S ribosomal RNA". It matches the Rfam family "Bacterial small subunit ribosomal RNA", at positions 29 to 523 of the family's 1533-position model. The record is from RNAcentral.
AACGAACGCUGGCGGCAUGCCUAACACAUGCAAGUCGAACGAGAUCUUCGGGUCUAGUGGCGCACGGGUGCGUAACGCGUGGGAAUCUGCCCCUUGGUUCGGAAUAACAGUUGGAAACGACUGCUAAUACCGGAUGAUGACGAAAGGCCAAAGAUUUAUCGACAGAGGAUGAGCCCGCGUAGGAUUAGCUAGUUGGUGUGGUAAAGGCGCACCAAGGCGACGAUCCUUAGCUGGUCUGAGAGGAUGAUCAGCCACACUGGGACUGAGACACGGCCCAGACUCCUACGGGAGGCAGCAGUGGGGAAUAUUGGACAAUGGGCGAAAGCCUGAUCCAGCAAUGCCGCGUGAGUGAUGAAGGCCUUAGGGUUGUAAAGCUCUUUUACCCGGGAUGAUAAUGACAGUACCGGGAGAAUAAGCUCCGGCUAACUCCGUGCCAGCCGCCGCGGUAA